This 425-nucleotide ribosomal RNA is filed under the name uncultured bacterium. Its description in RNAcentral is "partial 16S ribosomal RNA". It matches the Rfam family "Bacterial small subunit ribosomal RNA", at positions 359 to 776 of the family's 1533-position model. The record is from RNAcentral.
GAAUUUUGGACAAUGGGCGAAAGCCUGGUCCAGCAAUGCCGCGUGCAGGAUGAAGGCCUUCGGGUUGUAAACUGCUUUUGUACGGAACGAAAAGAUUUGGGUUAACACCCUGGAGUCAUGACGGUACCGUAAGAAUAAGCAUCGGCACACUCCGUUGCCGGAGCCGCGGUAAUACGUAUUGUGCAAGCGUUAAUCGGAAUUACUGGGCGUAAAGCGUGCGCAGGCGGUUUUGUAAGACAGAGGUGAAAUCCCCGGGCUCAACCUGGGAACUGCCUUUGUGACUGCAAGGCUAGAGUACGGCAGAGGGGGGUGGAAUUCCGCGUGUAGCAGUGAAAUGCGUAGAUAUGCGGAGGAACACCGAUGGCGAAGGCAACCCCCUGGGCCUGUACUGACGCUCAUGCACGAAAGCGUGGGGAGCAAACAGG